Ficedula albicollis (Collared flycatcher) is the source of this 4059-nucleotide long non-coding RNA. Lineage: Eukaryota; Metazoa; Chordata; Aves; Passeriformes; Muscicapidae. The record is from Ensembl.
CCCCCCCCCCCCCCCCCCCCCCCCCCCCCCCCCCCCCCCCCCCCCCCCCCCCCCCCCCCCCCCCCCCCCCCCCCCCCCCCCCACAUCGCGGCUGCUGAGGAAGCGCAGGCGGCGGCAGACCUGGGCCAGGCGGCCCAAGGCCUGCGCGUCCAGGUAGGAGCAGAUGAGGAGCAGCAGCUCCUCAGGUAAGGCCCAGAGCGGGGAGGGGGGGGAGGCGGCCCGGGAUCCCCCCUCCGCCUGGGGGGACCGGGGGCUGCCCUUCCUCCCCAUGGAGCAGCAGCUCCCGCCCCUCCUCCCCGGGAGCCGGAGCUGCUGCUGCCCGGGGGAGGCCCGGCCAUGGACGGGGCAGCCGCUCCCCAGUCACAUGGGGCCCCCCCCCCCCCCCCCCCCCCCCCCCCCCCCCCCCCCCCCCCCCCCCCCCCCCCCCCCCCCCCCCCCCCCCCCCCCCCCCCCCCCCCCCCCCCCCCCCCCCCCCCCCCGGGGAGGAGGCGGCUGCCGGCACCGGAGGGGGCACGGGCCGCCGAGCCCACCCUCGUUAGCGGAUUAAUUCAUUAACGGGAGCCGCUGGGACUCCCCCUGUGCCGCUUGCCCUCCCCCACACCCCCUCGCCACUCCACGAAAGGCUCACGGGUCUGUAUCUUCCGAUCUGGGAUUAGAAACGUCACCUGAUCCGAGUGCCCUCGCCACUCCACGAAAGGCUCACGGGUCUGUAUCUUCCGAUCUGGGAUUAGAAGCGUCACCUGAUCCGUGUGUUCAUUAAUAAUGUGAGCAAUUAAUGGUGGGGAUGGUGAUCCCAGGUAACCAGAACAUCUGCCUCACCACCUGGAGCAACACCAGCUAGGUACUGCACCCCUGCAAAGGAAGGUGAACAGCAAGGUGAUUAAUGCUCAUUAAUUAUCCUUGACCAGGGUCAGGAGUGCCUGUCACCCAUGAAGUGACAGCAGGGGUCAUCUGGUGCUGCACAGCAGUUUUCAACACUCCCAAAUUCCUGUGACACAUAAAAGAAAGGGUCUUCCCCACAUGAGAGCAGGCCUUUCUACAAUGGAUUUAGGGCUGGCUUUUCACCAGCACCCUGCCUGCAGUCCAUUCCCCCCUCCAGAGCUCCACAGAGUGGGGUCUGAAAAGUGCUCCCAGUUCACACGUGUGUGUACACAUCCACAAGGACACCUCCUCGAAGGAACAUAAUAACUGAGUCAUUGUUGCCAUCCACAGGAGCCUGGAGUACUGACAACGCAGGGGGAUUCUGGUCCAAAAUGGCAAAGUAACUCUCCACAGACAGUGGACCAGGAAAAUAUGAGUCUAGAGUUGUGUUAUUCUUUCUUAUAGUACUUUCCACUCUACAGAAGCCUGAAAUACUGGGGAAAUUUCUCCCUCAGAAUAAGACAAAAAUAGAUAAGUUAUAAGACGUUCAUCAUCUGGCUAGAAUGCUUUGCACAGGUACCACUUAGCCACCACAAUCUACAUCUCAUUUUGCAGGGUGGAGUAGGAUAAUAAAUUUCAGCAUAUAAUGAGGUUACCAUUGUAUUCAGGCCAUUUGACAGUACUUGCAUCCUAUUCCAGAAGGUCAUCUUGUCUGCCUAAUCUCAAGAUCCCAAAUACUUCUAUGAAUAAAUCACCAGGUCUGGAAGUCUCCUAUUUUAGAGGUUCAAAACUGCCAGAUAAGGAACUCUCUGGUCCAUUUACACUGAGUUUUAAUACUCCCUGGAAGUCAGGGAAGUUUCAGAAGUGGAUUUUAUUAUCAGCAUUUUUAAGGAGUGAUGUCUGAAAUAAUUAAAAAAUUCUCAAUCUGAGUUUGAGCUCAGGUGAAAUAACAGCACAUCUAGUACAGGACUUAAGUAGCCAGCUGAAAGUGAGGUAAUACAAUGAAUUUUGCUUAAGAUUAUGAAAACUUUGUGUGAAUGAAAAUGAAAGUUUUAUGUCAAUUUCAUCUCUUUCUGAUGAUAUAAAAUUUGGUUCUUUUUGUAACACUACAAUAUUGUCUGAAACAUUAAAAUUAUUAAAAGCUGAGUGACUUCUCUGUCUUAAGUUAUUGUAAAGACAUACUUAUUAUCAAGUUGGUCUUUCUCCAGUAGGAUCCCACAGAGACUGCUUAUACACCCCACACUAUUUAAUAUUUUUACUGGCAAUCUGAAAAAAAUCUGAAAUCCUUCUUAGCAAAGCUUUGUAGGAAGCACAAAGCAUGGGGCAAGAAGCAAAGGAUGCUUAUGGCUGCAUACCCCUAGGUUAAGUUUAGGUAUAAUCACAUCAUAUGUAUUUCAAUCAAGCCAAAUGUAAAGUCUCACAUCUUGGAACAAAGAAUGUAGGUCACACUGAAAGGAUGUAACUCUAUCCUGCAAAGCUGCAAUUCCGUAAAGACUUCAUUAAGAUGAAUAAUCAGCUGAAUGUGAGCUCCUCCUGCAAUGCUAUGACCAAAGGGCUGGGCUAGUGCUGUCCUGGGAAAAACACAAGAGCUGGGAGUUCUUUUACCUCUGGUUUUGACUCCGUUGUGACUGUUUUGGAAAUAAUUUGUCCAGACAACACUUCAAGAAGGAUGUUUAGAAACUAAAGGAGUUUCAAAGAAGAGUAGAAGAUAAUGAUUACUGGACUGUCAAACAUGUUUUGUAGUAAGACCCAAAAAGCUCAAUCUAUUUUAGCUUUCUAAAGAGAAGGUUAAGGUGUGAGGUGGUCAUACCUUAUGAGCACUGAAACAGGAAAAAAAAUCUGGAUCUUCCGUUUAACAGACAAAGAGAUAACAUCUCUUAACAGAAGGUGAUGGGAAACAAAUUAAUGAAUAAAGUGUGCUUUUGUAGUGAAUAAAAUCAACUGUUGAAACAGCUUACCGAGAUUUAUGGUAGAUUCACCAUUACUGGAUUUAUAAAAAACAAUACCAGUUGGGUUUGGUUUCUGGGUUUUUUUCCUUACAGAGAGAGAGAGAAAGAGAGAGAGGGAGAUGGAGGGGUUUGACCACAACUGCUAAAACUUAACCAGGAGCUGACCUGGAGAGUCUUGACUCAGAAUAUCAAACCAAGGCAGUCCAAGGGGUCUCUUCUGAUCUUAGGCUCUUUUACUCUAUAGAGGCAGCAUGUGCAUAGUGCAUGUCCCUGCACUGUGUGGCACCCAAAUUCCAGAGGAUGCUCUCCAGCCUGUGGCUGUGCUGCUUUACCAGGAAAAACUACUUGGUGCAGAUCAGAAGGAGCCUGGGUGAAAACAUGCAGUAUGACCCUCUGGGACACCAAGGUCCAAGGUAUGGGCAAGUGCAUCUGAAGAAGGGGGGCCUUAGUGCACUCCAAUUUGUAAUCCAAGGUAUAAAACACUGGGAAAUACUUGCUUAAGAUGAAAGGUGUUUAAACCCAGUAAUCUUGGAGAAGGUCAACUAUGCUCCAAGCAGGAGACACAGAGCAGUAUGAAAAAAAGAUAUUACAAUAUAUUGCUCCUAAAUGUGGCACUGUUUUCAAGUAUGGGUAAUUGUCUUAACAAUAUAGUAACAAUAGUUAUUUUUUUGCCCAAAAUGUAGAUCCAUUACUUUCUCUGAGUUGUUUUGUUAAGAGAAGUAUACCAGCAACUGCAUCUCCUUGAUGCACUUUCUUAGGCAUGGUUUUGGAUACUGCCUGCUGCAGAGCUGUCAAAGGUGUGCAUUGCAGACUAAGAAGCCACGGCCUUGGUCUUUGCAAUAAUGCCAGAGUAAGUGCUUAUGUAGGUGUCUGCAGGAGCAAGAACCAAGGAAGGUUCUGAACCAUUCCUAGAACUGUGUGUGUAGCAUGAUUAUUUCCACUGCAUUGUUCACGCUCUAAUAAAGGACUCGAAGCAGGUGCUCAGUGGAGUGUAAGCAUAAUAAUGUAUCUUUCCCAAGUCUUACAAAGAUCCCAGUCCUUUUCAUGGCUCAUGACCACUCUGAACCUCUAGAAAAAGGGGUCGGGUUCUGUGCUGAAGUAGCUGACCAUUCCAACACCAUGGCUUGCAGAGUUUGUAAACUAAAAAUCAGGGGGCUUAUAUCUGUAAAGUCUUAACAGCAUAAGUCAAUAAAAUCCAGCUUGGAGAAACACCAUUUGAAUACCUGCCUGUCUGGUUUUUUUCUGUCUU